Molecule: unclassified non-coding RNA, 362 nt
Filed under: uncultured bacterium
Lineage: Bacteria
Description: contains 16S-23S intergenic spacer region
Source: RNAcentral
UCCCAGUUACCCGGGCAGUCUCGUGUGAAAGUAUAACACACGACAAGGGUUGCGCUCGUUGCGGGACUUAACCCAACAUCUCACGACACGAGCUGACGACGGCCAUGCAGCACCUGUCACCAGGUUCCCGAAGGCACUUCCACCUUUCGGCGGAAUUCCUGGGAUGUCAAGCCUCGGUAAGGUUUUUCGCUUAGCAUCGAAUUAAACCACAUACUCCACUGCUUGUGCGGGUCCCCGUCAAUUCCUUUGAGUUUUAAACUUGCGUUCGUACUCCCCAGGCGGGAUGCUUAUCGCGUUAGCUUCUUGGCACAAAGGGUCGAGACCCCAUACCAAUAGCAUCCAUCGUUUACGGCGUGGACUAC